Molecule: microRNA precursor, 58 nt
Organism: Gadus morhua (Atlantic cod)
Lineage: Eukaryota; Metazoa; Chordata; Actinopteri; Gadiformes; Gadidae
Source: Ensembl
AGGCAGUGUCUUGUUAGCUGGUUUGUUGUGUGUUUGCCAGCUUACCUGCUACUGCCCU